AUUGAACGCUGGCGGCAGGCCUAACACAUGCAAGUCGAACGGUAGCACAGAGAGCUUGCUCUCGGGUGACGAGUGGCGGACGGGUGAGUAAUGUCUGGGAAACUGCCUGAUGGAGGGGGAUAACUACUGGAAACGGUAGCUAAUACCGCAUAACGUCGCAAGACCAAAGAGGGGGACCUUCGGGCCUCUCGCCAUCAGAUGUGCCCAGAUGGGAUUAGCUAGUAGGUGGGGUAACGGCUCACCUAGGCGACGAUCCCUAGCUGGUCUGAGAGGAUGACCAGCCACACUGGAACUGAGACACGGUCCAGACUCCUACGGGAGGCAGCAGUGGGGAAUAUUGCACAAUGGGCGCAAGCCUGAUGCAGCCAUGCCGCGUGUAUGAAGAAGGCCUUCGGGUUGUAAAGUACUUUCAGCGGGGAGGAAGGUGCUGAGGUUAAUAACCUCAGCAAUUGACGUUACCGGCAGAAGAAGCACCGGCUAACUCCGUG
RNAcentral lists this ribosomal RNA (488 nucleotides) under uncultured bacterium. RNAcentral describes it as "partial 16S ribosomal RNA". It matches the Rfam family "Bacterial small subunit ribosomal RNA", at positions 30 to 507 of the family's 1533-position model. The record is from RNAcentral.